RNAcentral lists this unclassified non-coding RNA (172 nucleotides) under uncultured Sporormiaceae. RNAcentral describes it as "sequence contains ITS1". The record is from RNAcentral. Lineage: Eukaryota; Fungi; Ascomycota; Dothideomycetes; Pleosporales; Sporormiaceae.
CUGUAUCGGGGUGCCCCCCCUCUCGCUCCGGCGGGUUGCGGGUGCACCUUACCUUACAACCCUUGUCUAUGAGCACCUCUUGUUUCCUCGGCGGGUUCGCCCGCCAGAGGACCUACCUAAAACCCUUUGCAAUACCUGCAGUACUGUCUGAUAGCGAAAGCAAUUUAAAUCA